AUGGUCGAAGGCUCGGAUACGGACAUCGCUAGCCUUAAAUUCCUCCUCCUCUGCUUCCAACAAAUGUCUGGUCCUAAGAUCAACUUCGACAAGAGCGAUGUGAUGGUGAUGGGCUAUUCUCCGGCUGAGGCCUUGAUUGCCAACCGCCUCAAUUGCCGCCUAGGUUCCUUCCCAACGACCUACCUAGGAACGCCCAUUAGUGACUCUCGGCUCACUGUGGCGGACCUUCGUCCUGCGUUGACCAAGUUGCAAUCGCGCAUUGAGCCUUGGCAGGGUCGGUGGCUCUCGAAGGUGGCCCGGACGAUUCUUAUCAACUCCUCGCUCUCUAGUCUCCUCUUAUUCCUUAUGAGCUUCUACAGCCUCCACGAGACCCUCCAUCACGAGAUCGCUAAAAUCCAAUAUCGCUUCUAUUGGGUUGGGGACAAUAACAAGCAGAAGUAUCAUAUGGUUAGUUGGCCCGACAUCUGCAAGCCCCGGGGGCAGGGAGGCCUUGGCAUCAUGUGCUCGAAACGCAUGAACAUUGCCCUCCUCUCCCGCUGGCUCUAGCGCAUCUCGCAAGGGCAUGGCGGUCUGUGGUUA
This 579-nucleotide ribosomal RNA is filed under the name Triticum aestivum (bread wheat). RNAcentral describes it as "partial small subunit ribosomal RNA". The record is from RNAcentral. Lineage: Eukaryota; Viridiplantae; Streptophyta; Magnoliopsida; Poales; Poaceae.